This 1177-nucleotide ribosomal RNA is filed under the name Enterobacter cloacae. RNAcentral describes it as "partial 23S ribosomal RNA". It matches the Rfam family "Bacterial large subunit ribosomal RNA", at positions 1 to 1212 of the family's 2925-position model. Lineage: Bacteria; Pseudomonadati; Pseudomonadota; Gammaproteobacteria; Enterobacterales; Enterobacteriaceae. The record is from RNAcentral.
GGGUUGUGAGGUUAAGCGACUAAGCGUACACGGUGGAUGCCCUGGCAGUCAGAGGCGAUGAAGGACGUGCUAAUCUGCGAAAAGCGCCGGCGAGGUGAUAUGAACCCUUGACCCGGCGAUGUCCGAAUGGGGAAACCCAGUGUGAUUCGUCACACUAUCGUUAACUGAAUACAUAGGUUAACGAGGCGAACCGGGGGAACUGAAACAUCUAAGUACCCCGAGGAAAAGAAAUCAACCGAGAUUCCCCCAGUAGCGGCGAGCGAACGGGGAGCAGCCCAGAGUCUGAAUCAGCUUGUGUGUUAGUGGAAGCGUCUGGAAAGUCGCACGGUACAGGGUGAAAGUCCCGUACACGAAAAUGCACAGGCUGUGAACUCGAAGAGUAGGGCGGGACACGUGGUAUCCUGUCUGAAUAUGGGGGGACCAUCCUCCAAGGCUAAAUACUCCUGACUGACCGAUAGUGAACCAGUACCGUGAGGGAAAGGCGAAAAGAACCCCGGCGAGGGGAGUGAAAAAGAACCUGAAACCGUGUACGUACAAGCAGUGGGAGCACCUUCGUGGUGUGACUGCGUACCUUUUGUAUAAUGGGUCAGCGACUUAUAUUCUGUAGCAAGGUUAACCGUAUAGGGGAGCCGAAGGGAAACCGAGUCUUAACUGGGCGUUAAGUUGCAGGGUAUAGACCCGAAACCCGGUGAUCUAGCCAUGGGCAGGUUGAAGGUUGGGUAACACUAACUGGAGGACCGAACCGACUAAUGUUGAAAAAUUAGCGGAUGACCUGUGGCUGGGGGUGAAAGGCCAAUCAAACCGGGAGAUAGCUGGUUCUCCCCGAAAGCUAUUUAGGUAGCGCCUCGUGAACUCAUCUUCGGGGGUAGAGCACUGUUUCGGCUAGGGGGCCAUCCCGGCUUACCAACCCGAUGCAAACUACGAAUACCGAAGAAUGUUAUCACGGGAGACACACGGCGGGUGCUAACGUCCGUCGUGAAGAGGGAAACAACCCAGACCGCCAGCUAAGGUCCCAAAGUCAUGGUUAAGUGGGAAACGAUGUGGGAAGGCCCAGACAGCCAGGAUGUUGGCUUAGAAGCAGCCAUCAUUUAAAGAAAGCGUAAUAGCUCACUGGUCGAGUCGGCCUGCGCGGAAGAUGUAACGGGGCUAAACCAUGCACCGAAGCUGCGGCAGCGAC